GUGGGGAAUUUUGGACAAUGGGCGCAAGCCUGAUCCAGCCAUACCGCGUGGGUGAAGAAGGCCUUCGGGUUGUAAAGCCCUUUUGUUGGGAAAGAAAUCCUGUCGGUUAAUACCUGGCGGGGAUGACGGUACCCAAAGAAUAAGCACCGGCUAACUUCGUGCCAGCAGCCGCGGUAAUACGAAGGGUGCAAGCGUUACUCGGAAUUACUGGGCGUAAAGCGUGCGUAGGUGGUGGUUUAAGUCCGUUGUGAAAGCCCUGGGCUCAACCUGGGAAUUGCAGUGGAUACUGGAUCACUAGAGUGUGGUAGAGGGAUGCGGAAUUUCUGGUGUAGCAGUGAAAUGCGUAGAGAUCAGAAGGAACAUCCGUGGCGAAGGCGGCAUCCUGGGCCAACACUGACACUGAGGCACGAAAGCGUGGGGAGCAAACAGGAUUAGAUACCCUUGUAGUCC
RNAcentral lists this ribosomal RNA (450 nucleotides) under uncultured bacterium. Its description in RNAcentral is "bacterial SSU rRNA". It matches the Rfam family "Bacterial small subunit ribosomal RNA", at positions 354 to 796 of the family's 1533-position model. The record is from RNAcentral.